GACAUAUCGAGCUCCAUCAAAUAUGCAUAGGCCAAUCUUGCUGCACACUUUAUCUGGUCGAGUCUGCAACCAUUCAAACACAUUCAGAUCACAAUAAGAAAACAGUGACAACCUUAUAGGAGAAACUAUAAUUAUCCGUACAUCUAUUAUGAUAAAGGAGUAGAAAAACAAAGAACAAACCUGUGCAACCAACAACUCCAGUAUCAACUCUCCAUACUGUUUAACGACCUCUUUACAUUCCAUGCUCACAACUCCUUCUGCACCAAUGGCGUGAUUUAUUUGGGUGACUAUGGUCUGAAAUCAUUAAAAAGAUCAAAUAUAAAUUUUCACCUGUGUUAUUUACAAGAACAUCAAUACAAUUAAACAACUGCGGUAAUGAAUUGCAUAUUUUGGAUGAUUUUAUCACAACAGAUACUAGCUCUUCUUGCCUCAGUCUCAUUUUGUGAGAUGCAGAGUUGGAUAUUGUGGAACAGUAUCAGCAGUAUUCAACUAAUGGAAUCAUGUUUUUCGCUAGAGCAGAAGUUUUUAGAUAACACAUGGUGACAUCUGAGGCUAACUCACAAGAAUUCAUAAUUAAAAGAUAUGAAAAUUUAAGAAAAUUCAAAGUCAUAACUCUUUGUCGAGUAUGCUAGCAAAAACUCUCAAGCAUAGAGUAUUAUGUCACUAAAGCCAGAAGAGAAGCCCUUUUUUUGCAUGCAUGCACAUCGUCAGUUAUAGUGUUGAGCAUAUACAAUCCAGGUGACGGCAAGUAUGGAUUGCAGUCAUCUCCCAUCUUGUUAAUUUUUCCCUAAAAUUUGUAUAACUUGAUAAAAACACUCUCAUUAUAAGAGAAGCCAUUCUUUUGCUUCUCUUCUGCAAGAACUGUACUAACAAAGUGUAUGUAACAAAACUGGAAGUACUAUAGAGGUAUGAUAUAUGGUCACUUACAAUGAAAAAAGGACAUUAAAUGGUCUUGUUUGGCUGAGAGCACGUGCAAGCGAUAAUAAUAAAAGGAGAACCAUCUAAUAUAAGAGCCUGGUAAAAUACUCAGGAAACUGCACCAACAAGAUUUGAACCCAGAACCCCCAGAGGGGGGUUGCAACUGCCAGGCUCUAUCCCAUAGUUUCAAUAAUCAUAAAUUGUAUAUAUGCUGCAUAUCAGUGAAAAAUGUUAGGACCCCAGGAUGACUGGUGCAAUACCUUGAAACGCACUUCAGUUAAGAUUUUUUAUGUUAAAAAAAUACUAAAGCUAAUUGCAAUACUUGCAUGAGUCUCAAGGUGAACAUUGUAAACAACUCUGUCGAUGUUCAUACAUAUAGCUUUAGGGGAAAGGAUACCUACAAGCUUAGAACUGCUAGGUACCUUAUACAGAGAAAGACAAUGAGCCCCAGUUAUUAACAAAGCCACUGUUAUGCUUUUGCUGCAUCAGUAUAACAUUUGUUCAGCCUGCAUCAUUAUAUCUCCAUAGUAUGUGUCCUAAACUUUUUCUAAUCCCUGCAUAACUAAUGUAGUUCUAUCUUUAAUGAUAAUACAAAGCUCUCAAUCUCGCCAGCACUUGAAAACCCCAAAACAAGAAAUAAUCCCCAAAACUCUAGAAAAGGCAAAAAUAUACAUGUAUGGACCCUUCAGUGGGCCUCAGACCCAGGCCAAGUGCCCGAGCUUAGGACAGGCCCUUUUGGUAAUGUCUCCUCUAAAUACAAGACACACCAUAACACUGUUAAUGGAAAAAAGAUAUAGUGAGUUUGGUGUACUCAAACAUGAAGUAAACAGGAACCAAAAGGAAAUCAUAAUAAUCAUGAGAAAGAAAGAGAAACUAGCCAGAAAACUAUAAUUGGGUCUUCCAGAAAGAGACCACAAAUAGACAACUGGAAUGUGAAGGCUAAAAAUCAGGUGAAAUAGCAAACAAAGACAGCAUCUUUCCAAAGAAACUACUUAGUUGGCAUGAUUAUCCAUCAUAGCUUUGUCUUAAAGCAAGAGAAAAAAGAAAUGAGCUCUGCACAACAACCUAUAAAUAUACCUUCAAGACAAGAUACAGUGACUAUUGGUGAUAACAUGGAAAUAACCAGGGAAAUUAAAGAACUGCUGAGAUAUCUCAUAAAAGCAGGAAAAUGUAGCAUCUACAAGAGCCAACAAAAUCAUCUAUUUGAAAACACUUAAUUGUUUUAAGUGCUUGAAGGAACAUACAGUUGGCCCUGCAAGCAAGGAAGUUCCAGAAUCUACAAUAGCAGCACAGCCAUCAGCACAAUAGCCUGCAUGACAAAAAGUUUUCGAAGUCUUGUUCAGAAACAUCAUGUUGCAUGAUAUGACAGCAGUUCAUGUGUAGACAGACGGAAAGUAUUACCAGUUGAUUGGCCAUCAAUCAGGAAAUCUCCCAUGUCAAACUGAAAAAAGAAAGGGGGAUAAAAGAGGUCAUGAGUGAAAAUAUGUUAGUUGUCACAACUCGCAAGAAUAUAAAGGAAUCUAGGUUCAUUCUCUGCACAACUUCGUCUGUUUGGGACUACCUGCCAGUAUCCUUCACUAGUUACUGGAACAUAGGAAUGUUCGCCCUUAAAAUGUCUUGGAUCAACACCUCCAAAAAUAAGCUCGCCCCCAUUCACAUCGUCUGCAUCUCUAUUUAGCCAGAACGAGAAUACCUUCUUGUCAAUUAAAUCCUGCUCAACCAUGCUAUACCUGUGAUGAGUAAUAAAAGAAAGCCUAAGGUUUGGCAACAUCACAUAGAAUAUACCCUGUAACAUAUGGAUUCAAAGAAUGAUAAGGUAAAAUAUUUCAAGGAUAUUGUGAGGCCCAAUAGUCCCACAUCGGAAAGACUCGUUCCAGAGCCUGGGCAUAUGAGGCGGGUGUCUCCAAAUCCUGCAAACGCGUUUUGGGUGGAAAACAAAACCGGAGAGGGGUGAAGGACGCUUGCGUGAAGCCCCAGAACCGGACAAUAUCUGGCAGGGGAGCCCCGUGUUCCCCCCUCAUGUGGCCCCCACGUGGGCACUAGGUGCCUCACGUGCCUCGCAGAGGCGGGGGCGUGACAUUUGGUAUCAGAGCCGAGGACGGCUCUUGUCCGAUGGUGGGAAAGGUGUGAGGCCCAAUAGUCNNNNNNNNNNCUUCUGGAGUUAGGCUGAAAACUUUUUCGGCAAUUGUAAAUGAAAUAUUUGGCAUGCUUGCAAUCUGAUCACAGCUAACAGUUGAUUCUCCACUGGGGCUUGGCAGACGUUCACACAGCUCAUUAGCAUAGGCCAAAAUUCGUUCCUUAGUUUUAUUUUCUCUCAGUUGAUUUUCAAUCCAAACAACAGCCAUCUCACAAGCAGUACAUAAAACAUCUUGAUUAAGAGAUGAAUCUUCCUCCUUUUGCUUGUCAACCACGGAAUCAAUGCCAGUACCGACAUAUCGAGCUCCAUCAAAUAUGCAUAGGCCAAUCUUGCUGCACACUUUAUCUGGUCGAGUCUGUGCAACCAACAACUCCAGUAUCAACUCUCCAUACUGUUUAACGACCUCUUUACAUUCCAUGCUCACAACUCCUUCUGCACCAAUGGCGUGAUUUAUUUGGGUGACUAUGGUAGUUGGCCCUGCAAGCAAGGAAGUUCCAGAAUCUACAAUAGCAGCACAGCCAUCAGCACAAUAGCCAGUUGAUUGGCCAUCAAUCAGGAAAUCUCCCAUGUCAAACUGCCAGUAUCCUUCACUAGUUACUGGAACAUAGGAAUGUUCGCCCUUAAAAUGUCUUGGAUCAACACCUCCAAAAAUAAGCUCGCCCCCAUUCACAUCGUCUGCAUCUCUAUUUAGCCAGAACGAGAAUACCUUCUUGUCAAUUAAAUCCUGCUCAACC
RNAcentral lists this long non-coding RNA (3789 nucleotides) under Phoenix dactylifera (date palm). RNAcentral's name for it is "long non-coding RNA (PDAC_LNC003507)". Lineage: Eukaryota; Viridiplantae; Streptophyta; Magnoliopsida; Arecales; Arecaceae. The record is from RNAcentral.